GUCCAUCAGCCGCGGUAAUACGAAGGGACCUAGCGUAGUUCGGAAUUACUGGGCGUAAAGCGUACGUAGGCGGAUUAAUAAGUUAGAGGUGAAAUCCCAGGGCUCAACCCUGGAACUGCCUUUAAAACUGUUAGUCUUGAGAUCGAGAGAGGUGAGUGGAAUUCCAAGUGUAGAGGUGAAAUUCGUGGAUAUUUGGAGGAACACCAGUGGCGAAGGCGGCUCACUGGCUCGAUACUGACGCUGAGGUAGGAAAGCGUGGGGAGCAAACAGGAUUAGAUA
RNAcentral lists this ribosomal RNA (279 nucleotides) under uncultured bacterium. Its description in RNAcentral is "partial 16S ribosomal RNA". It matches the Rfam family "Bacterial small subunit ribosomal RNA", at positions 506 to 784 of the family's 1533-position model. The record is from RNAcentral.